Molecule: ribosomal RNA, 638 nt
Filed under: uncultured bacterium
Lineage: Bacteria
Description: bacterial SSU rRNA
Rfam family: Bacterial small subunit ribosomal RNA
Source: RNAcentral
AGAGUUUGAUCCUGGCUCAGAUUGAACGCUGGCGGCAGGCCUAACACAUGCAAGUCGAGCGGAUGAUGGGAGCUUGCUCCCGGAUUCAGCGGCGGACGGGUGAGUAAUGCCUAGGAAUCUGCCUGGUAGUGGGGGACAACGUUUCGAAAGGAACGCUAAUACCGCAUACGUCCUACGGGAGAAAGCAGGGGACCUUCGGGCCUUGCGCUAUCAGAUGAGCCUAGGUCGGAUUAGCUAGUUGGUGGGGUAAAGGCCUACCAAGGCGACGAUCCGUAACUGGUCUGAGAGGAUGAUCAGUCACACUGGAACUGAGACACGGUCCAGACUCCUACGGGAGGCAGCAGUGGGGAAUAUUGGACAAUGGGCGAAAGCCUGAUCCAGCCAUGCCGCGUGUGUGAAGAAGGUCUUCGGAUUGUAAAGCACUUUAAGUGGGGAGGAAGGGCAGUAAGUUAAUACCUUGCUGUUUUGACGUUACCAACAGAAUAAGCACCGGCUAACUUCGUGCCAGCAGCCGCGGUAAUACGAAGGGUGCAAGCGUUAAUCGGAAUUACUGGGCGUAAAGCGCGCGUANGUGGUUUGGUAAGAUGGAUGUGAAAUCCCCGGGCUCAACCUGGGAACUGCAUCCAUAACUGCCUGAC